RNAcentral lists this ribosomal RNA (426 nucleotides) under uncultured prokaryote. RNAcentral's name for it is "bacterial SSU rRNA". It matches the Rfam family "Bacterial small subunit ribosomal RNA", at positions 355 to 796 of the family's 1533-position model. The record is from RNAcentral.
UGGGGAAUUUUCCGCAAUGGGCGAAAGCCUGACGGAGCAAUACCGCGUGAGGGAGGAAGGCUUUUGGGUUGUAAACCUCUUUUCUUAGGGAAGAAGUUCUGACGGUACCUAAGGAAUCAGCAUCGGCUAACUCCGUGCCAGCAGCCGCGGUAAUACGGAGGAUGCAAGCGUUAUCCGGAAUUAUUGGGCGUAAAGCGUCCGCAGGUGGCUCUUCAAGUCUGCUGUCAAAGACCAGAGCUCAACUCUGGGCAGGCGGUGGAAACUGGGGAGCUAGAGUACGGUAGGGGUAGAGGGAAUUCCCAGUGUAGCGGUGAAAUGCGUAGAUAUCAGGAAGAACACCGGUGGCGAAAGCGCUCUACUAGGCCGUAACUGACACUGAGAGACGAAAGCUAAGGGAGCGAAUGGGAUUAGAUACCCCCGUAGUCC